GGUCUUUGGGGCAGGGUGAAAAUCCCUACCGAUGGUAUAGUCCAUGAACCCUCGAGCGAUCGGGGGCCGAUCUGGUGCGAUUCCAGAACCGACGGUGACAGUCCGGAUGGGAAAAGACG
This 119-nucleotide non-coding RNA is filed under the name human gut metagenome. RNAcentral describes it as "FMN riboswitch (RFN element)". It matches the Rfam family "FMN riboswitch aptamer (RFN element)". Rfam says of the family: The RFN element is a highly conserved domain that is found frequently in the 5'-untranslated regions of prokaryotic mRNAs that encode for flavin mononucleotide (FMN) biosynthesis and transport proteins. This element is a metabolite-dependent riboswitch that directly binds FMN in the absence of proteins. The record is from RNAcentral. RNAcentral also lists the same sequence under 1 other name.